Ictalurus punctatus (channel catfish) is the source of this 3584-nucleotide RNA transcript. RefSeq lists it as uncharacterized. NCBI's taxonomy places the organism in Eukaryota, Metazoa, Chordata, Actinopteri, Siluriformes, Ictaluridae. The transcript has 6 exons. The record is from RefSeq and is a predicted model, not a curated record.
AUUUGAUGCUCUAGAAAAACAGUCAGGACAGGUUUCUGGUUCCUGAAAGGUCUACCUGAAGGAUCAUCUUCCUGGGGUAGUUAGGGUUCUGUUGUUCUCGAAGAUGGAGUGCUUUUUCUCCACCUGUAACUCAACAUCACUCUUUGUUCUGCAUCCUACAUCAUCUCUACAUCAUCUAGUGGCCCAGAAUAUUCUGGAACGUCUACAGCACGGUCCAUUUAUUGAGAAGUACACAGUGCUAAGCAUUAGAUACAGAGAACAUCCAGGGGUUUAUAAACAAUCAAACAUGGUGGAAAGAUUUGUAAAUGUUCUUCAGUUUGAGAACACGCAUCCAGAAAGUUGUGAAUCAGCUCCAGGGUUCCUGGUUCUCUUGAUUUCAGGUUACUGUCUGAGUGACUGUUUAAAAGUGAUCAUCAAAGUAGGCUUGUUUAGACACAAUAACAAUGACGUUAAAAUUUUGUGUAGUCUGUAAAUUACAUUCUGAUCUCUAAUUAGCAUGGUAUGCUAUGUUUAUGGUAUGGUAUGUUUAUGGUAUGGUAUGUUUAUGGUAUGGUAUGUUUAGGUAUUUUUUUUUUAAUAUAAUAAAAGUUCCCCAUGUCAGCUACAUUUAAAUGGAAGUUUAAAUUAAAGUGUGCACACAGUGUAGACGAAGAAAACAUUUCAAAUAUCUCUGACCUUUUCUGAAAUGUUAAACAGCGAGGCAGAGGUGUGCUCACAGCAAAGCACUUCUGACAAGCCCUAAUAUAGACAACUAAGACAAAGUGGACUGUAGAGAUUACAAGAACCCUGGUCGAGAACCUUCAGACAGAACGCUGGGAGAGAACCCUGGUCGAGAACCUUCAGACAGAACCCUGGGAGAGAACCGUGGUCGAGAACCUUCAGACAGAACCCUGGGAGAGAACCGUGGUCGAGAACCUUCAGACAGAACCCUGGGAGAGAACCGUGGUCGAGAACCUUCAGACAGAACCCUGGGAGAGAAGAUAUUUUACACCUGCAUGCCUGAUUGUUAUAUGUGUUGUUAUAAGAAGCACUUUUCAGGGCAAUGUAAUUUGGUGAAGCAUCUUACAACCAAACUGUGGAGAAUGUAACAAGCCUAAUAAUAAUAAAGCUGCUAAUAAAACAGCUUUAGAUCUAUACCACAUUUACAGUAUGUAAUAAAUUGUAGCAUGUAGCUAAUUGUAAGUCAGUUUUGUAUAUGAUGAGCGCUGAGAACAUCUUUAAUAACUUCCCCAUCAAUGUUAAUUCAAUUAGCCAAGACUUUGAAAAAGUGCCGUAAAUUUAGGAGAGGUGUGUGAGAAGUUGGAGAAGAACCAUUCAUCUGCCUCAGUAGGGAAUUUUGUAUGGUGAAGUGUAGAGCAGCCCGCCUCUCUCUCUCUCUCUCUCUCUCUCUCUCUCUCUCUCUCUCUCUCUCUCUCUCUCUCUCUCUCUCUCUCUCUCUCUCUAAAUGGAAUGGUAUUCAGUGUUUGGACCUGAAGAGAAAGGCAGCAUUCACGUCCUGGAAGCCAAACAAAACAGUUGGGUAGGCUGUUUUUCCAUCAUAAGGGGUCACAGCUUUUUGUCUUCUGAUAGGCCACAUUGCCAUUUACAGUCAGUCGCCCAGUGGGCAGACGCAGACAGAAGAAAACCAGACAGAGGGUAAAGGUGGACUAAACAGAAACAAAUGAGGAAAAUAUUCUAAUGAAGUGUUAGGACUGUGUAAAGACAUCCCUCUAAGGAGCUGCUACUGGAUCUGCUGAAAGAUCCUGUCUCUGUUGCCUGUGGACACAGUUUCUGUAUGUACUGCAUCAACAGACAGUGGGAUGGACAGGUUCACAGCAGAGUUUACACCUGCCCCCUGUGUAAACAGCGUUUUAGCCCACGACCGAUCUUGGGCCGGAACAUCAUGUUGGUUGAAAUGGUGAAGAAGCUGAAGAAGACACGUGUUCCUGAAAGAACCCUCGCUGGCAUGUUGUGUUUGAGUGUAGAAGCCAUAAAACCAAUUCCCUCACAACUCAACGGUUUAUUCAACAGCGAGAGAUUAGAAACAUCCGGACACAGGUUCUCCAGAGAUCUCGAACAGCAGAGAACAGCGUGAAAGAUCUGAAGAAAGCAAUACAGUUAAUCAAGUCCUCUGCAAAGACAACACUGGACCAAAGUGAGAUGUUUGUGGAGUCGAUCGGCUCAGCAGAACGGAAACGCUCAGAGAUUAGAGUAAUAAUCAAAGCUACAGAAGAAGCUGAAGUGCAGCGAGCAGAGGAAAGUCCGCAGCGUAUGGACCAGGCAGUGACUAAACUGAAGAAGAGAGAUAACGAACUGGUUCAGCUUCCACGGGCUCCAUGAAUCUCUCUGACUUUUCAACAUUUCAUGAUGUUCCACACAUUACUGUCAACCUGCCACCUUUUAAAGAAAUCCACACUUGUGUGUCUGAGCUGACGGUGAAGGUGAAAGACUUCUACAUGACUGCAUUACAGACAAAGUCCAAAUCAGCAGAUUUUCGUUGGUUGACAGUGGAUCCUAGAACAGCCCACAGGAACCUCCAGCUGUCUGAGGGCAACAGAACAAUAACCUUUGAUGACGCAAGUACACACUGUCACAGAGAGCCUGAGAGAUUUAACUGCUACACUCAGGCUCUGUGUAGAGAAGCUCUUCAGGAGUGCUGUUACUGGGAGGUGGAAUGGCGAGGUCAGCAGGUUCACAUUACAGCACCGUACAGAGGAGUGGAAAGAAUUGGCUGCUGUUCUAAUGUGGCCUUCGGACACAAUGAUAAAUCCUGGAGUUUAUGUUGUAAUUCCUCUCAGUUUUCUUUCUUUCAUAAUGAACGUAAGACCGUUAAUUCAGGUCCGUUGUCCACAAGAAUAGGAAUUUAUCUGGAUCACAGAGCCGGGUCUCUGUCCUUCUACAGCAUCACAGACACUAUGACUCUCCUCCUCCGAGUCUGCACCACAUUCACCGAGACCCUGCACGCCGGAUUCUGGACGUUCGAUGGCUCCAGUGUGAAACUGUGUGAGAAAACCGAGACCGUGCGUCCUCAAACGUGUCCUACGGCUGCCAAUAAACUUUCAUACAGACUUCAAUUUGAGCUUAACUUCAGUCUUUGUUUCAACAGCACUAGGCCCAGGUACCCGAAAAUGUUGUAGUCAUUUACAGUGUAAACAUGUUUAUAGUUUGGUGGAGCAGGUAGGAACAAUAGAUGUUUUCAGGAAUGUGGUAAAUAUUCCAGUGCAUAUAUUUAGUUUAGUAAUGUGAUUAUUUUCUCCUUUGCAGGUAAAUGCCACAUAUCCUGCAGCUGUCUUUUAGUAAUUAUUGGUGUAAAGACUGUUCUAAGCCCUUCUCAUUUUAAACCUCUAGUUUUAACCCUAUGCUCUAUACUCUCUAUAUGUGUUUUGUUGUAUUUUAUUCAAGCUGCUCUGAACAUAUUAAGGACAAUUAUUUAGUAGUCACUGGGUCCAUAUGGCUCCAGCAGUCAAUCACUGAGCAUGAUGUUGAGCUUCACACCGUGUUCGGGAUCAGGAUAAUUAUUAAAGAUUGCAGAACCAAACACAAAAUGGAAAUCAGUCUUUUGACACAUUUUGGAAUUGAAAUAAAAAACGCAUCAAACAUUUUCA